GGAGGGGUGGCAGAAUGGUAAUGCGCUGGCCUCGAAAGCCAGUGGCCUAUUAUGGCCUUGUGGGUUCGAAUCCCACCCCCUCCG
RNAcentral lists this transfer RNA (84 nucleotides) under Pseudomonadota bacterium. RNAcentral's name for it is "tRNA-Ser". It matches the Rfam family "tRNA". Rfam says of the family: Transfer RNA (tRNA) molecules are approximately 80 nucleotides in length. Their secondary structure includes four short double-helical elements and three loops (D, anti-codon, and T loops). The record is from RNAcentral. Lineage: Bacteria; Pseudomonadati; Pseudomonadota. RNAcentral also lists the same sequence under 1 other name.